This 253-nucleotide ribosomal RNA is filed under the name uncultured bacterium. Its description in RNAcentral is "partial 16S ribosomal RNA". It matches the Rfam family "Bacterial small subunit ribosomal RNA", at positions 524 to 776 of the family's 1533-position model. RNAcentral also lists the same sequence under 2 other names. The record is from RNAcentral.
UACAGAGGGUGCGAGCGUUGUCCGGAAUCACUGGGCGUAAAGGGCGCGUAGGUGGCGGCGUCAGCGUGCGGUGAAAGCUCGAGGCUCAACCUCGAGUCGGCCGUGCGAACUGCGUCGCUCGAGCAGAGUAGAGGCAGGUGGAAUUCCGGGUGUAGCGGUGGAAUGCGUAGAGAUCCGGAAGAACACCGGUGGCGAAGGCGGCCUGCUGGGCUCUGGCUGACACUGAGGCGCGACAGCGUGGGGAGCAAACAGG